RNAcentral lists this long non-coding RNA (286 nucleotides) under Nicotiana benthamiana. RNAcentral's name for it is "long non-coding RNA (NBEN_LNC008169)". Lineage: Eukaryota; Viridiplantae; Streptophyta; Magnoliopsida; Solanales; Solanaceae. The record is from RNAcentral.
AGCAAGUGGUUGUCAAAUUGAGACUCAAUCGAACAAAUCUCGAACCAUUAGCUUGCAAGGAAUGAGAUCCAGAUUGAGAAUUAGCUCAAUUGAUUAGAUCUACCUAACAAAUUGACUCGAUUAGAUUCGUCACAGCUGAAUUCACACUCGUUUAACCAAGCUCUGAUACCAUGUGAAGAAGCUCAGGUAUGGCGGUUAUUGAAUCAAAGAUGUGAGAGGAAGAAGAAGAAAGAAAAAGAAAGGAGAAGCAGAAGCAGACGGUUACUUCAUUCUGCGGAGAAAAAUG